Molecule: ribosomal RNA, 501 nt
Filed under: uncultured bacterium
Lineage: Bacteria
Description: partial 16S ribosomal RNA
Rfam family: Bacterial small subunit ribosomal RNA
Source: RNAcentral
AUUGAACGCUGGCGGCAGGCUUAACACAUGCAAGUCGAGCGGAGAGAGGUAGCUUGCUACUGAUCUUAGCGGCGGACGGGUGAGUAAUGCUUAGGAAUCUGCCUAUUAGUGGGGGACAACAUUUCGAAAGGAAUGCUAAUACCGCAUACGUCCUACGGGAGAAAGCAGGGGAUCUUCGGACCUUGCGCUAAUAGAUGAGCCUAAGUCGGAUUAGCUAGUUGGUGGGGUAAAGGCCUACCAAGGCGACGAUCUGUAGCGGGUCUGAGAGGAUGAUCCUCAACACUGGGACUGAGACACGGCCCAGACUCCUACGGGAGGCAGCAGUGGGGAAUAUUGGACAAUGGGCGCAAGCCUGAUCCAGCCAUGCCGCGUGUGUGAAGAAGGCCUUAUGGUUGUAAAGCACUUUAAGCGAGGAGGAGGCUACUUUAGAUAAUACCUAGAGAUAGUGGACGUUACUCGCAGAAUAAGCACCGGCUAACUCUGUGCCAGCCGCCGCCGUAA